CACUGAAACACUGGUUCUUGUGCAAUCACUGAAGUUAAGCAAUGUAGAGCCUGGUCAGUACCUAAAUGGGUGAUUGUUUAGGAAUACCAGGUGCUGUACG
This is a non-coding RNA of Acanthosepion pharaonis, 100 nucleotides long. Lineage: Eukaryota; Metazoa; Mollusca; Cephalopoda; Sepiida; Sepiidae. The record is from the annotation of a GenBank genome assembly.